This is a small nuclear RNA of Monodelphis domestica (gray short-tailed opossum), 102 nucleotides long. The record is from RefSeq and is a predicted model, not a curated record. Lineage: Eukaryota; Metazoa; Chordata; Mammalia; Didelphimorphia; Didelphidae.
AUGCUUCAGCAACACAUUUACUAAAAUUGGAAUGAUACACAGAAGCUUAGCAUGGCCGUACACAAGGAUGACACCCAAAUCUGUGAAGCAUUUCCUAUUUUU